GCCGGCGCCGCGCGUGCCUGCGGUCCCAGCUGCUUGGGAGGCUGAGGCAGGAGAAUCGCGUGACCGGGAGUUCUGCGCUGCAGUGCGCUGUGCCGAUCCAGGUCCUCACUGAGGCCGGCAUCAGUAUGGUGGCCUCUGCCACCAGGACGCCUAGGGAGAGGCGAGGCAGCCCCAGUUGGAAACGGAGCUCGUCAGUAGUGGCAUCGGGCCUGGGAAUAGCCUCUGCGCUCCAGACGGGUCGACCUGGCGAGACUCCGCCUCUAAAACCAGCAAAUACUGGGAGGCUGAGGGACGAGGAUCGCUGGAGCCCGGGAGGCGGAGGUUGCAGACUCCCUAACAGAUGUCUCGAGGUCCAUUAUUGGGCGAAGGUCACUGCAAAUUCAGGGAGACCCAGGAGCUCACCCCAACCAGCUUCUUUACCAGGUGAGUGACCUCAGCCCUGCAGCUGGACUCAUCGAGACAAUGACCUCACCCGAAGAUAGAUGACUCCUGUCCACCGUCCACACAACAACUGAGCUGGCCCCGGGUCGACUCCUCUACACCCUGCUUCCUACUGUACCCCUGUCAAAGGCCUUCCUCCUACCCUUCCCACUCCUCCUCUUCCUCCCUGGCAGCCCAACCACCACAAAUUCACUAACUUGUUUUCAACUCUUGCAGGCUGCCCUCCUAACCCUAGCCCUGACCUCUGCCCUCUUAACCCCAGCCCUGACCCCACCGCCCUCUCAGGAGGCUUUACCAAUCAUCUGCAUGUUAGCCCCACCCAAGGAACAGGCCUAUUUUCAAGCAUA
Long non-coding RNA from Symphalangus syndactylus (siamang), 788 nucleotides. RefSeq lists it as uncharacterized. The record is from RefSeq and is a predicted model, not a curated record. Lineage: Eukaryota; Metazoa; Chordata; Mammalia; Primates; Hylobatidae.